UGUUGUUUUUCUUAUGUGGCCCACCCAAGAGUAAUGCCAUGGAUCAAGCAAUCUAGAUCAAUCAUCAUAUUCACAGAUAAGGGGCUAGAGAUGGGCCACAUUAUAAUCGUUGGUGGUGCAAAUCAUAAUGCUAGCAUUCCUUAAAUGGUGGAGAAUCUAAUUGAUUGGAUACCUGCACAUUAUCUUAACCAUAGAUUAAUCGCAUAACUUUUGGACAAUCCAGAUGGAUAAAUGCAUUCUGGGGAACCUUAACAUAGUUCAUCACAUUGUGGACAUUGGAAAACUCAUACAGGUAUACGGAUAUGAGAUUUCUGAAAUUUACUUAUGCAUUUUCUACUUCCUUAGGUGGAAGGUGCGACAGACGAAGGCGGUAGAAGCCCAACUAUAUGGGACACUUUCUGUGAAAAGCCUGGCAAAAUCCCUGAAGGGGCUGACUGGAGAACCUCGAAUGAUUCAUAUGAUCUCUAUAUGGAAGACAUAAAAAUAAUGAAGAAAAUGGGUUUCGACUCUUACAGAUUUUGCAUCUCAUGGUCCAGAAUAUUACCAAAAGGAACGAAGGAAGGUGGUAUAAGUCCUGAUGGCAUUAAUUGUUACAAAAAACUGAUAGCGGGUCUGCAAGAUAAUGGUA
This is a long non-coding RNA of Magnolia sinica, 628 nucleotides long. RefSeq lists it as uncharacterized. The record is from RefSeq and is a predicted model, not a curated record. The transcript is spliced from 4 exons. NCBI's taxonomy places the organism in Eukaryota, Viridiplantae, Streptophyta, Magnoliopsida, Magnoliales, Magnoliaceae.